This 164-nucleotide ribosomal RNA is filed under the name uncultured bacterium. Its description in RNAcentral is "partial 16S rRNA". It matches the Rfam family "Bacterial small subunit ribosomal RNA", at positions 355 to 511 of the family's 1533-position model. The record is from RNAcentral.
UAGGGAAUCUUCCACAAUGGGCGAAAGCCUGAUGGAGCAACGCAGCGUGUGUGAUGAAGGGUUUCGGCUCGUAAAACACUGUUGUAAGAGAAGAAUGACAUUGAGAGUAACUGUUCAAUGUGUGACGGUAUCUUACCAGAAAGGAACGGCUAAAUACGUGCCAG